Non-coding RNA from Bactrocera oleae (olive fruit fly), 574 nucleotides. NCBI's taxonomy places the organism in Eukaryota, Metazoa, Arthropoda, Insecta, Diptera, Tephritidae. The record is from RefSeq and is a predicted model, not a curated record.
UAAAAUUAUUUUGAUUUAUUUCCAAAUGUGUGUUUUGCAUGCUGGUAUGAAAAUAGAAGCCAUUAAUUGUUGCAAGAACGGGAACAGACAUUUACUUUCUCACUUUUCAGUGACAUUAUUUGAAUCCUUUGUUGUCAAUUUGAAGGCGUUUACGCUGACUGACAGCAAGUUCGUCGAAGUGAAAAAAGUGUCAAAGAAAUUGAACUUAUAAAUGUUUCGGCCGAAGUAAUAAGGGAAACUAACGGAAGUUAAAGUUUCAUCAACGAUAUCUUUCUUCCUCGCUUCGGGCUUCGGGACAGUAUCCAAUCAAUAAAACAAAGAAUCAUAAACAGUUUCGUCAUAUAUCCCGGAUGGUUUUCAAAUAAUUGAGCGUUCACAAAGCCGUUACUGCAAUUUAGUCAUAAACUUCCAAAGAAUAUAACUCCGACGAAAGAGAGGUUUUCUUGCCUUGAAAGCUACCCACUGACUGUGAUUUUUAACAACAACGUCGGAAGUAGCCGUAAAUGCAUAUAUUAUAAUCAAGGCGGUUUGUGCAUUUAAGUCAAUCAAGCAGCUGAAGUCGUUUGGGAGUGUA